This 424-nucleotide ribosomal RNA is filed under the name uncultured bacterium. RNAcentral describes it as "partial 16S ribosomal RNA". It matches the Rfam family "Bacterial small subunit ribosomal RNA", at positions 360 to 776 of the family's 1533-position model. The record is from RNAcentral.
AAUAUUGGACAAUGGGCGCAAGCCUGAUCCAGCCAGUCCGCGUGUGUGAAGAAGGUCUNAGGAUUNUNAAGCAUGUUAAUUUGGGNGGAAGGGCAGUUAACGAAUACUUAACUGUUUUGACGUUACCAAAAGAAUAAGCACGGGCUAACUUCGUGCCAGCAGCCGCGGUAAUACGAAGGGUGAAAGCGUUAAUCGGAUGUACUGGGCGUAAAGCGCGCGUCGGUGGGUCGUUAAGUUGGAAGUGAAAGCCCCGGGCUCAACCUGGGAAUUGCUUUCAAAACUGGCGAGCUAGAGUACGGUAGAGGGUGGUGGAAUUUCCUGUGUAGCGGUGAAAUGCGUAGAUAUAGGAAGGAACAUCAGUGGCGAAGGCGACCACCUGGACUGAUACUGACACUGAGGUGCGAAAGCGUGGGGAGCAAACAGG